RNAcentral lists this ribosomal RNA (490 nucleotides) under uncultured bacterium. Its description in RNAcentral is "partial 16S ribosomal RNA". It matches the Rfam family "Bacterial small subunit ribosomal RNA", at positions 30 to 507 of the family's 1533-position model. The record is from RNAcentral.
AUUGAACGCUGGCGGCAGGCCUAACACAUGCAAGUCGAACGGUAACAGGAAACAGCUUGCUGUUUCGCUGACGAGUGGCGGACGGGUGAGUAAUGUCUGGGAAACUGCCUGAUGGAGGGGGAUAACUACUGGAAACGGUAGCUAAUACCGCAUAACGUCGCAAGACCAAAGAGGGGGACCUUCGGGCCUCUUGCCAUCGGAUGUGCCCAGAUGGGAUUAGCUAGUAGGUGGGGUAACGGCUCACCUAGGCGACGAUCCCUAGCUGGUCUGAGAGGAUGACCAGCCACACUGGAACUGAGACACGGUCCAGACUCCUACGGGAGGCAGCAGUGGGGAAUAUUGCACAAUGGGCGCAAGCCUGAUGCAGGCAUGCCGCGUGUAUGAAGAAGGCCUUCGGGUUGUAAAGUACUUUCAGCGGGGAGGAAGGGAGUAAAGUUAAUACCUUUGCUCAUUGACGUUACCCGCAGAAGAAGCACCGGCUAACUCCGUG